RNAcentral lists this unclassified non-coding RNA (274 nucleotides) under Hevea brasiliensis (rubber tree). The record is from RNAcentral. Lineage: Eukaryota; Viridiplantae; Streptophyta; Magnoliopsida; Malpighiales; Euphorbiaceae.
GACCUGACCUUUUCUACCAUCAUCUUGGGCAUAUUUGGCUGUGGUUUUUGUUGGGCGUUCAUCAAUGCUUUUCCUCAUAUUGUCAGGACGAACUCCUCGUGCUGGAAAUGAAAGACUUUGAGAAAGUGAUGGCCUCUGACUACGAGAAACAGAACCAGGGCCUUUCAAAUUAGGUUUAUCCUUGGACAGUUUGUUGCUCUUUGAACCCAGGGUAGCUGAUUCCUUGAAGGAUUUUGAGAGUUUACUUUCAGAAAGAUUUGCUUUGGCAUUUAUU